GAACUCUCGUUAAGGAACUCGGCAAAAUGACCCCGUAACUUCGGGAGAAGGGGUGCUCUUUAGGGUUAACGCCCAGAAGAGCCGCAGUGAAUAGGCCCAAGCGACUGUUUAUCAAAAACACAGGUCUCUGCUAAACCGUAAGGUGAUGUAUAGGGGCUGACGCCUGCCCGGUGCUGGAAGGUUAAGAGGAGUGGUUAGCUUCUGCGAAGCUACGAAUCGAAGCCCCAGUAAACGGCGGCCGUAACUAUAACGGUCCUAAGGUAGCGAAAUUCCUUGUCGGGUAAGUUCCGACCCGCACGAAAGGCGUAACGAUUUGGGCACUGUCUCAACGAGAGACUCGGUGAAAUCAUAGUACCUGUGAAGAUGCAGGUUACCCGCGACAGGACGGAAAGACCCCGUGGAGCUUUACUGUAGCCUGAUAUUGAAAUUCGGCACAGCUUGUACAGGAUAGGUAGGAGCCUUUGAAACGUGAGCGCUAGCUUACGUGGAGGCGCUGGUGGGAUACUACCCUAGCUGUGUUGGCUUUCUAACCCGCACCACUUAUCGUGGUGGGAGACAGUGUCAGGCGGGCAGUUUGACUGGGGCGGUCGCCUCCUAAAAGGUAACGGAGGCGCUCAAAGGUUCCCUCAGAAUGGUUGGAAAUCAUUCAUAGAGUGUAAAGGCAUAAGGGAGCUUGACUGCGAGACCUACAAGUCGAGCAGGGUCGAAAGACGGACUUAGUGAUCCGGUGGUUCCGCAUGGAAGGGCCAUCGCUCAACGGAUAAAAGCUACCCCGGGGAUAACAGGCUUAUCUCCCCCAAGAGUUCACAUCGACGGGGAGGUUUGGCACCUCGAUGUCGGCUCAUCGCAUCCUGGGGCUGUAGUCGGUCCCAAGGGUUGGGCUGUUCGCCCAUUAAAGCGGUACGCGAGCUGGGUUCAGAACGUCGU
This 927-nucleotide ribosomal RNA is filed under the name Staphylococcus aureus. Its description in RNAcentral is "partial 23S ribosomal RNA". It matches the Rfam family "Bacterial large subunit ribosomal RNA", at positions 1696 to 2622 of the family's 2925-position model. The record is from RNAcentral. Lineage: Bacteria; Bacillati; Bacillota; Bacilli; Caryophanales; Staphylococcaceae.